Long non-coding RNA from Alligator mississippiensis (American alligator), 739 nucleotides. RefSeq lists it as uncharacterized. Lineage: Eukaryota; Metazoa; Chordata; Crocodylia; Alligatoridae. The record is from RefSeq and is a predicted model, not a curated record. The transcript is spliced from 3 exons.
GCCAGCCAGGGGGAGGGGAGCAGCUCCAGGAGGAACCAGGCCCGGAGACUUCAGUGGAAGACAAAUGAUCCUGUGCCAGGGACUUUCUCCUGCAACGCUGGAAAAAUCAUGUUGGAAAAGGAAGACAGAUUUGAAUGAAAAUGCUGUGGCAGCAUUUCUGAUGGGACCGGGGCGUUCUGGGCGAAUGGAAAGGCUGCACACGUGAAACAGCGAGCAGAAACUCUGGGAACAUCAAACAAGGGGUUGACGUCCACCCUGCUCCAUCCCAUGUAACAAUGCACGGCUGUUUAACAGUGACAUUCAUAAGAGCAGGAGUUACCUUGAUUAUUCACAUGCAACACUGGCCACUUCCCUGAAAAUCUGCAAUCCAAAAUUAGGGUGGGGGUUUUAAAUGAGGCAUGGUAUCCAGGUUGUGGCCGUAUUGGUCUAGAGGCAAAAGGAAUCAGGACUCGUGAGAGAGGUGGUAUCCUUUAUUAGAGCAAUCUGAUUUUUGCAACAACAACAAAAUUCUUUAUAGAAUGAAAAUUAAAAAUUUUUAAUUACAAAUUAAAGAAUUUUUGUUGCAAAAAUCUAGUGGAUCUAAUAAAAGAUAUCACUUUUACCAUGAGUUCUGGUUCUUAAGUGAAGACUGUGAUUCUUAAUGGAAAAACCUUUUGCUCUUCAAUCUGUCUUGUCCAAAUCAGAUGCAUGGCUUAUUUGGGGGACUUACAAUUUGUGAAUAAAUCCAUUCGUUCCAAGA